RNAcentral lists this small RNA (333 nucleotides) under Vigna angularis var. angularis. RNAcentral's name for it is "Non-protein coding transcript". Lineage: Eukaryota; Viridiplantae; Streptophyta; Magnoliopsida; Fabales; Fabaceae. The record is from RNAcentral.
UCAAAGUAGUUCAUCAAGAGGGUUCAACUCGGUUAAAUUUCGAUUGAGACCUACUUGACUAAGUUUUGUUUGUGGUCUUCCCAGUUUAAUUUAGUCAAUUUUAUGUUGGGGUGGACUUAACCAAAUUUCGAUUAUGCUUGUCCCAGUGGAACUAGAUCGAAUUUUGGCCUUGACCCAUUUUGAGAUUUUGCCAGAUUUGAUCUAUCUAAACCUUUUGCUUGACCCGACUCAUAUCAACCUUUUAAUUUUGUUGUUUAUGAAAGAACUUAUGUUUUUGAGUAAAACAAAUCUUUCUUAUCUACUUAAUUUUUAUUUUUUUCAAGGUUUUUAAAU